CAGGAUGCAACAUCUCCGCGUGUUUUGUCACCCGCGGUCAACACAUCUCCGAAGCUCCGGGUUUUCGUAAGCUUCUGUCACUUGAAAAAGGGGGAAGAAUAAUUGAAAUUCUUCAGCUUUGACAAUGUUUCAACUGAUAUACAGUGCAGCUUUGCUAAUCUGUGAAGGCCCAGCUGACAACUGAUAAGUUUGACUCAUGACUGUAAAUCCUCAAGCCUGAAUGUCAGGUCAACUACAGUGGCCCCUCUUGAUAAAGAGAGCGAAGCGUGUCAUAUGGGGUUGCUCACUCCAGAACAAGAUAAGGAACACCUCACUCAUUGGUGAUGGAGAUUCAAAAUCAUCCCCACUGUAUAAGGCCCUCAACCCCUAUGAUUCCAUACUCAGAAGGAGGUGAUGUGUGUCAUCCAUGUGGCAAAAGAUCUCAGCUCUGUACUUUGCAAAAUCUAAGAGUCAUGGAGAAAAAGAGAGGUGUAACGCUUGGAGAGAGAGCCUUUGGCAUACUGACUUAGGUACCGUAUUUGAGGAUAAGAAAUUUCACUUGACUAUCCCCUAAUUUUCAAAUUCCCAUCAAUCAACAAUUAUUGCGCUAUUCCCCUCAAGCAAAACUUAGCCUGUUUGUAACCUAAGAUAUGAUGGAUGUUUGUUCAUUUUUUUCUUUUAAUGGAGAAGGAAGCAAGUUCUCCUGGGACCUACGGUGCUUGUCAUGCCUUGUGAAGCAUGAGGACCAUAAUGAUGAACUCCGUGUAUCAUAUUUUGCAUUUGGCAUACUGCUUCAUUACAUGUAUUUCAUAAAACUAAUUGCAGAUUCACAUUCAGACACAUUUUUGGGGAUAUUUCAAGAUAUGGUAUUUCCUUUUAGAGAUAGUAGAAUUUAUAAACUGAGUCUAAUCAUAAAAUAAUAUAUAUGCAACCAACCGCUUAUCUAGCGCUACUCUUUGUCCCUGGAGAUCAAAAUGAACAUCUGUCUGGUGAAGCACACACUGACCCUGUGUAAUGAAGGGGUUAAUGCCCAUCGUCUUGUAGGCCCGUACUUCAUGCAUUCACUCACUCUCAGACUCAGACAAGUGUGUCAGUGGAGAAAGGGAGAAUGUCACUAGGCCCUAGGCUAGGCGUACACAGUUGCUGAGUCGCUGGUGUGUAGUGUGUAAAGUGUGCACUGUAUGUAGACGGUGCACGCAGCACCUCUGGUGGCCAAGAGUGAAGGGGUUUGGAGGAAAAUUAACAUUAGUAGGCUACAUUUCAGGUAGGGGGCAAAUAGUAGCCU
This is a long non-coding RNA of Aplysia californica (California sea hare), 1264 nucleotides long. RefSeq lists it as uncharacterized. The transcript is spliced from 3 exons. The record is from RefSeq and is a predicted model, not a curated record. Lineage: Eukaryota; Metazoa; Mollusca; Gastropoda; Aplysiida; Aplysiidae.